Molecule: long non-coding RNA, 4248 nt
Filed under: Brassica napus (rape)
Lineage: Eukaryota; Viridiplantae; Streptophyta; Magnoliopsida; Brassicales; Brassicaceae
Description: long non-coding RNA (BNAP_LNC015428)
Source: RNAcentral
AUGGAUCAAAUAUGUUGGGGUAUGAAAAGUUGAUUUAUUGUUAAAAAAUAAAAAAUUAUGUAGAGAAAUACAUCAAACAGCAAACCUCAGAAUAAACGUCACAGCUGGAACCAACUCUCCAAACUAAGUUAUGUAAUGGUUGCUUCUCUAAAACAUAUCAAGGUCAUUUUUGUCACAAAUUUACACAGCCGUACAACUAAAGUGUUCUAAGAUCAGAAUGUGUCUUCACGCGUAAAGAGAAUUCAUAAUGUGUCCUUUUAUGUAACCUUCUCAGUGCAUAAUGAAAUGACCAAAAGGCCCUUGAGAAAACAUGAAUUCGGCCAAACAAAUAGACGCGGAGCGACCUCGGCACGUCGCUGCGAGAGGUCGCUCCCGGGUCGUUUCUUCGCGAGCGACCUGGCUGUGUCGCUCCGAAGACGUCGCUCUCAGAUGGAGCGACUUCAUGUGCUCGCUCUAGGAGGUCGCUCCGAGAGCGAUUCUCGCGUAUCUGACGCCAUAAACGCGAGCGAUAUCGCUGUUUCGCUCCGGCCACGUCGCUCCCAGCUGGAGCGACCUUAUGGUGUCGCUGCGGAACGUCGCUGCGAGGUCGAUUUUGUGCCUAAAAACCGCGAAAAUGCGAGCGACCUGGCUGUGUCGCUCCGAAGACGUUGCUCCCAGAUGGAGCGAUUUCAUGUGCUCGCUCUAGGAAGUCGCUCCGAGAGAGAUUCAUGCGUAUCCGACGUCAUAAACGCGAGGGAUCUCUCUGUGUCGCUCCGGCCACGUCGCUUCCAGCUGGAGCGACCUUAUGGUGUCGCUGCGGAACUUCGCUGCGAGGUCGAUUUCGUGCCCAAAAACCGCGAAAAGGCGAGCGACCUGGCUGUGUCGCUCCGAAGACGUCGCUCCCAGCUGGAGCGACCCUUCAAAGUCGCUGCUGAUCCUCGCUCCCACGAUCGAUUCUCUGCUCAAACCGGAUUGAUCAAGCACCUGCACACCACUUCAAAAAAAAAUUUUUUUUUUUUUUUUUUUUUUGAAAUAUGAUGAAAAUGAUUAUACUAAUGCAAUAUGUAGAAGGAUACGCAUGAGACUUCCUCCCAAGUGAGCUUGUUUUAAGUCUCUAGCUUGACUUUGCCUCCUUUUGGAUUAGGUCGGGGUAGGAUCAGACAGUGGAGUUGAAACCCCAUCUUCCUCGGGUGCAUUUGCCAUGUAGAGCUUAACCCUUUGCCCAUUGACUGUGAAGUCUCUUCCAUCAGUACUCCACAAAACUAUUGCUCCAUAUGGCCUAACCUCCUUGACCUUGAAAGGACCAGACCACCUUGACUUAAGCUUUCCUGAAAAUAACUUCAGCCUAGAGUUGUAGAGAAGAACUUGAUCUCCUUCUUUAAACUCUUUCUCUUCAGGAUAUUCUUGUCAUGGAAAGCUUUAGUCUCCUCCUUGUAGAUCCUUGAGUUCUCAAAAGCAUCCAUUCUUAUCUCAUCAAACUCAUGUAGCUGAAAAAACCUUUUCUCCUUGGCACUCUUGAUGUCAAAGUUCAGCAACUUUACAGCCCAUAGUGCCUUGUAUUCAAGCUCCACUGGCAGAUGGCAAGCUUUCCCGUACACUAGGUUGAAAGGUGUGGUCCCCAGAGGUGUCUUGUAAGCUGUCUUAUAAGCCCAAAAUGCAUCAUCAAGCUUAAUUGACCAAUCAUUCCUUGUAAUCCCCACAAUCUUCUCCAAAAUGGACUUGAUCUCUCUGUUAGAAAUCUCAACUUGACCACUUGUUUGAGGGUGGUAAGGAGUUGCAAUCUUGUGCUUAACACUGUUCUUCUUGAGAAGUCCCUCAAGCAGUUGUUGAUGAAAUGAGACCCUCCAUCACUGAUUACAAAUCUUGGAACCCCGAACCUUGGAAAGAUGGUGCUCCUGAACAUCUUGGUUACAACUCUAGCAUCAUUGGUGGGACUUGCAAUAGCUUCCACCCAUUUGGAGACAUAGUCAACAGCUACAAGGAUGUAUUUGUUGCCAAAAGAUGAUGGAAAUGGCCCCAUGAAAUCUAUACCCCAUACAUCAAACACUUCAACUUCAAGGAUUGGAUUUUGAGGCAUCUCAUUCCUUUUUGUGAUGUUCCCUCUCCUUUGGCAUGAAUCACACUUUGAAACAAAGUCCUGUGUAUCCUUUAACAUAUGUUGCCACCAGAAUCCAGCUUGUAGCACUUUCGCAACAGUCUUGAAGGUAGCAAAGUGGUCUCCAUAGGAUGAUCCAUGACACUGUGUAAGGAUCCCAUCAAUCUCCUCAUUAGCAACCACUCUCCAAUAAAGUUGAUCCUUGCAGAGAAUGUAGAGGUAGGGCUCAUCCCAGUAGUAUCUCUUCACAUCCUUGCAGAACUUCUUCUUGGCAUAGCCCACAAGAUUCAAAGGUUUUUUUCCUGUGGCUAUGUAAUUUACCAAAUCAGCAUACCAAGGUUCUUUCUCCUCUGUUGCCUUGAAUUCUUCAAGCUUCCUACCAGUCUCACAAACUGCCAUCACUGCUCCAAUAGCCAUGAUCUGUUCCUCAGGAAGUCCUUCAUCAAUAGGAAUGCCACACUCCACUCUCAGCCUGGACAAGUGAUCAGAUACACCAUUCUCAACUCCUGGCUUGUCCUUGAUCUCUAAAUCAAACUCUUGAAGCAAAAGAAUCCAUCUCAAGAGCCUGGGUUUUGCAUCAUUCUUUGCCAAAAGAUGUCUCAGCGCAGCAUGAUCUGUGUAGACAAUGACUUUAGAUCCCACCAAGUAGCUUCUGAACUUCUCAAAGGUAAAGACAAUGGCUAGCAUCUCCUUCUCUAUUGUGGCAUAUCUCAUCUGAGCAUCAUUCAGGGUUUGGCUCGCGUAGUAGAUCACAUGGGUCUUGCCAUCUUUCUUCUGCCCCAAAACAGCUCCCACAGCAUAGUCACUAGCAUCACACAUGAUCUCAAAGGGGAGAUCCCAAUUAGGUGGCUGGACAAUUGGAGCACUGAUGAGUUCACCUUUCAGCUUCUUGAAGGCUUCUAGACACUCCACAUCAAAGCUGAAGGUGGCUUCUUUGCACAGCAGCCUGGUCAAUGGUCUAGUGAUCAUGGAGAAGUCCUUGAUGAAUCUUCUGUAGAACCCAGCAUGACCAAGAAAACUUCGGAUGUCUUUCAUUGUCUUUGGUGGGGGCAAACCAACCAUAACAUUGAUUUUGGCCUUAUCCACCUCAAUCCCCUUCUCUGAAAUCUUGUGUCCCAGCACAAUCUCUUCCUUAACCAUGAAGUGACACUUAUCCCAAUUCAGCACAAGGUUAGUGUCUUCACAUCUCUGUAGGACCCUACACAAAUUUGACAAACAAGCAGAAAACGAAGAUCCAUAGACAGAGAAAUCAUCCAUGAACACCUCCACAACAUCCUCAAUCAGAUCAGAAAAGAUCGACAUCAUGCACCUUUGAAAGGUGGCUGGAGCAUUACAUAGACCAAAUGGCAUUCUUCGAUAUGCGAAGGUACCAUAAGGACAUGUGAAUGUUGUUUUCUCCUGAUCAUUGGGAUGUAUGGGGAUCUGGAAGAAUCCUGAAUAUCCAUCAAGAAAACAAUAGAAUGGAUGAUUUGCAAGUCUCUCAAGCAUCUGAUCAAUAAAUGGAAGUGGAAAAUGAUCUUUUCUAGAUGCAGAGUUCAGUUUGCGGUAAUCAAUACACAUCCUAUGCCCAGUGACUGUUCUUGUUGGUAUCAAUUCAUCCUUGUCAUUUUUAAUCACAGUUAUACCACCCUUUUUUGGCACAACAUGCACAGGAGAUACCCAUUUAGAAUCUGAGAUAGGGUAGAUAACACCAGCAUCUAAGAGUUUAAGAAUCUCUUUCUUUACAACAUCCUUCAGGUUAGGAUUUAACCUUCUUUGAUGCUCGAUAGAAGUCAUUGAUUCAUCCUCAAGAUGUAUCCUAUGCAUACACAAAGAGGGUGAUAUUCCUUUGAUGUCAUCAAGUGAGUAACCUAUUGCUUUUCUAAAUCUUUUAAGUGUUUUCAAAAGUUAAGAUAGUUCAGUUUCAGUAAGUUCACUACUCACAAUGACUGGGUAAAUGAUUUAUUGUUAAAAAAUAAAAAAUUAUGUAGAGAAAUACAUCAAACAGCAAACCUCAGAAUAAACGUCACAGCUGGAACCAACUCUCCAAACUAAGUUAUGUAAUGGUUGCUUCUCUAAAACAUAUCAAGGUCAUUUUUGUCACAAAUUUACACAGCCGUACAACUAAAGUGUUCUAAGAUCAGAAUGUGUCUUCACGCGUAAAGAGAAUUCAUAAUGUGUCCUUUUAUGUAACC